GUAAACAUAGUUUAAUCAAAACAUUAGACUGUGAAUCUAAUUAUAGAAGCCUACCACUUCUUGUUUACC
This 69-nucleotide transfer RNA is filed under the name Theropithecus gelada (gelada). It matches the Rfam family "tRNA". Rfam says of the family: Transfer RNA (tRNA) molecules are approximately 80 nucleotides in length. Their secondary structure includes four short double-helical elements and three loops (D, anti-codon, and T loops). The record is from Rfam by way of RNAcentral. Lineage: Eukaryota; Metazoa; Chordata; Mammalia; Primates; Cercopithecidae.